CUAUUUUUGAGAGUUUGAUCCUGGCUCAGAACGAACGCUGGCGGCGCGCCUAAUACAUGCAAGUCGAGCGAGAAGACGUAGCAAUACGUUUGUAAAGCGGCGAACGGGUGAGGAAUACAUGGGUAACCUACCCUCGAGUGGGGAAUAACUAGCCGAAAGGUUAGCUAAUACCGCAUACGACUCUUGGUCUGCGGAUCGGGAGGGAAAGCGAUACCGUGGGUAUCGCGCUCCUGGAUGGGCUCAUGUCCUAUCAGCUUGUUGGUGA
RNAcentral lists this ribosomal RNA (265 nucleotides) under Nitrospira sp. SG-bin1. RNAcentral's name for it is "partial 16S ribosomal RNA". It matches the Rfam family "Bacterial small subunit ribosomal RNA", at positions 1 to 255 of the family's 1533-position model. The record is from RNAcentral. Lineage: Bacteria; Pseudomonadati; Nitrospirota; Nitrospiria; Nitrospirales; Nitrospiraceae.